UACGAAGGUCCCAUGCGUUAUCCGGAAUUAUUGGGCGUAAAGCGCAUGUAGGCGGUUUGUUAAGUCUGGUGUGAAAGCUCAAGGCCUAACCUUGAAAUUGCAUUGGAAACUGGCAAACUAGAAUACUGGAGGGGUAAGUGGAAUUCCAUGUGUAGCGGUGGAAUGCGUAGAUAUAUGGAGGAACACCAAUGGCGAAGGCAGCUUACUGGACAGUUAUUGACGCUGAGAUGCGAAAGCGUGGGGAGCAAACAGG
RNAcentral lists this ribosomal RNA (253 nucleotides) under uncultured bacterium. RNAcentral's name for it is "partial 16S ribosomal RNA". It matches the Rfam family "Bacterial small subunit ribosomal RNA", at positions 524 to 776 of the family's 1533-position model. The record is from RNAcentral.